Molecule: ribosomal RNA, 497 nt
Filed under: uncultured bacterium
Lineage: Bacteria
Description: partial 16S ribosomal RNA
Rfam family: Bacterial small subunit ribosomal RNA
Source: RNAcentral
GAUGAACGCUGGCGGCGUGCCUAAUACAUGCAAGUCGAGCGAACAGACGAGGAGCUUGCUCCUCUGACGUUAGCGGCGGACGGGUGAGUAACACGUGGAUAACCUACCUAUAAGACUGGGAUAACUUCGGGAAACCGGAGCUAAUACCGGAUAAUAUAUUGAACCGCAUGGUUCAAUAGUGAAAGACGGUUUUGCUGUCACUUAUAGAUGGAUCCGCGCCGCAUUAGCUAGUUGGUAAGGUAACGGCUUACCAAGGCAACGAUGCAUAGCCGACCUGAGAGGGUGAUCGGCCACACUGGAACUGAGACACGGUCCAGACUCCUACGGGAGGCAGCAGUAGGGAAUCUUCCGCAAAGGGCGAAAGCCUGACGGAGCAACGCCGCGUGAGUGAUGAAGGUCUUCGGAUCGUAAAACUCUGUUAUUAGGGAAGAACAAAUGUGUAAGUAACUAUGCACGUCUUGACGGUACCUAAUCAGAAAGCCACGGCUAACUACGUG